GGUGAUCUACGGGGCGCAGCAGUGGGGAAUAUUGCACAAUGGGGGAAACCCUGAUGCAGCGACGCCGCGUGAGUGAAGAAGUAUUUCGGUAUGUAAACUUCUAUCAGCAGGGAAGAAAAUGACGGUACCUGACUAAGAAGCCCCGGCUAACUACGUGCCAGCAGCCGCGGUAAUACGUAGGGGGCAAGCGUUAUCCGGAUUUACUGGGUGUAAAGGGAGCGUAGGCGGCGAUGCAAGUCAGAAGGGAAAGCCCGGGGCUCAACUCCGGGACUGCUUGUGAAACUGUAUGGCUAGA
This 295-nucleotide ribosomal RNA is filed under the name uncultured bacterium. RNAcentral describes it as "partial 16S ribosomal RNA". It matches the Rfam family "Bacterial small subunit ribosomal RNA", at positions 333 to 645 of the family's 1533-position model. The record is from RNAcentral.